UGGGGAAUUUUGGACAAUGGGGGAAACCCUGAUCCAGCAAUGCCGCGUGUGUGAAGAAGGCCUUCGGGUUGUAAAGCACUUUUGUCAGGGAAGAAAUCCUUUGGGCUAAUACCCUAGGGGGAUGACGGUACCUGAAGAAUAAGCACCGGCUAACUACGUGCCAGCAGCCGCGGUAAUACGUAGGGUGCAAGCGUUAAUCGGAAUUACUGGGCGUAAAGCGUGCGCAGGCGGUUGUGUAAGACAGGUGUGAAAUCCCCGGGCUUAACCUGGGAAUUGCAUUUGUGACUGCACGACUAGAGUGUGUCAGAGGGGGGUGGAAUUCCACGUGUAGCAGUGAAAUGCGUAGAUAUGUGGAGGAACACCAAUGGCGAAGGCNGNCCCCUGGGAUAACACUGACGCUCAUGCACGAAAGCGUGGGGAGCAAACAGGAUUAGAUACCCUGGUAGUCCACACUGUAAACGAUGAUGACUAACUGUUUGCCCUUUGGGGUGAGUGGUACAGGAGAAAUCGUUAAGUCAUCCACCUGGGGAGUACGCCNGCAACGGUG
RNAcentral lists this ribosomal RNA (547 nucleotides) under uncultured bacterium. RNAcentral describes it as "bacterial SSU rRNA". It matches the Rfam family "Bacterial small subunit ribosomal RNA", at positions 355 to 896 of the family's 1533-position model. The record is from RNAcentral.